AGAGCGGUAGCCUGGAGAUGGGCACUGAGACAAGGGCCCAGGCCCUACGGGGCGCAGCAGUCGCGAAAACUCUGCAAUACGCGAAAGCGUGACAGGGUUACCCCGAGUGCCGUCCGCUGAGGACAGCUUUUCUCCGGUGUAAUGAGCCGGAGGAAUAAGGGGAGGGCAAGACUGGUGUCAGCCGCCGCGGUAAUACCAGCUCCUCGAGUGGUGGGGAUGAUUAUUGGGCCUGAAGCGUCCGUAGCCGGCCCGGUAAGUCUUCCGUUAAAUCCAACGAUCUAAUCGUUGGGCCGCGGGAGAUACUGUCGGGCUAGGGGGCGGAAGAAGCCGACGGUACUCCUGGGGUAGGGGUGAUAUCCUAUAAUCCCGGGAGGACCACCAGUGGCGAAGGCGGUCGGCU
RNAcentral lists this ribosomal RNA (400 nucleotides) under uncultured archaeon. RNAcentral's name for it is "bacterial SSU rRNA". It matches the Rfam family "Archaeal small subunit ribosomal RNA", at positions 279 to 681 of the family's 1478-position model. The record is from RNAcentral.